GGUCAUCAUCACUUGAGCAAUAUGCUAAUAUACAGCAGUCUCAACAGUGGGAAUGUGCAGAUAGGAAGAAAAACAAACACCGUCAAAGUGGGGUAUGCUGUCUGGCCAUUUGAUCCACUUGGUCACACGACACAGUGCCUCGUACUAGCGCAAGAAUUGCACACAAAGGAAGCCUCCACGGAGGAGUCAAAGUACCUAGUGUUUGCGUUCACUCUCUCAAGCUGGCAUUGAAACAGUGACUCAUUACUUCACUUUCGAGCUUUCGAAUACAAUGACUCUACAUCACGUCUACCUAAUGCCCAUACCACUUGAAAUUACUGAAGCCACUGCUGGUCACAGUUCCCUUUCAAAAUCUACCGAGCUGAAAAUUUCCAGUAUCUGCAUAGCUCAUCACCU
This 396-nucleotide long non-coding RNA is filed under the name Physcomitrium patens. Its description in RNAcentral is "long non-coding RNA (PPAT_LNC013439)". The record is from RNAcentral. Lineage: Eukaryota; Viridiplantae; Streptophyta; Bryopsida; Funariales; Funariaceae.